Long non-coding RNA from Gavialis gangeticus (Gharial), 928 nucleotides. RefSeq lists it as uncharacterized. The record is from RefSeq and is a predicted model, not a curated record. Lineage: Eukaryota; Metazoa; Chordata; Crocodylia; Gavialidae. The transcript is spliced from 3 exons.
CUCGUGUGUGUUCACGGUUCCAGAGGGCAGAUGCUUUGCAAGCCAGCGUUCCUUUUUUCCCCAGAUCCUGACCGAGUCCACCACACUCACCAGGGCUGAAGUAAGUCUGCCUGUGUUUGGCAGUGGAUUCUCUCCUGCAGCCUAAGGCUUAGUUUUGACUCUCUGAAAGUGGGCCUACGCAGAAAGAUUCUGCACAGACAGGCUUUGGAAGGUAUCAGGAGGAAAAGAACCAUCAAAGCAACAACUUAGUUAACUGGUGAUGGAGUCUAUAAACACCACAGCAGGGCAACUAGGAGUCUACAAUAACCAAGGUCUUCCAGCUAACCAGUCAAGAGAUAAUAGUCAAGAGUCAACCUACAAUAGAAGGAAGGCCUGGGUCAUCUAAAGAGACCUGCAGAAGAAUUGGCAUGACCACAGGCAGCCACUGUGAGAGAGGUGAUUAGACCUGCAGAGAGUAUGGAAAUAACUGAACUAAAGCCAUGUAGGGCAGGAAGUAAACCGGGGGAUAUUGGUAAGAAUGAAGCUGCCAUGAAAACUUGUCCUUGUGGUUCUGAGGUGGGACUCAGUGGAGUGCCAAUGUCUCAGGGCCCCUUAUACCCACUAACCAGUGAAGAGGAUUUAAAUGGCUGUUUCUUCUGGAGUUAGACAUGAUGGCAAGGGACCUUUAACCUUCACAGCCUGGUAGACUGAUAUUAGGCUGAAAGUGAUACUGACCUUGACCAACCCCAGAAGAGGAGAACCAAGUACUUUUAACAGACAUGAACAAGAGAGGUAUGUCACUGUGAAGAGAUUUCAGUGAUACAAGCUUUAUUCCAAAGUCCUGUGUGAAAUAUUUAAUUGUUCAAUGCUUUAAAAACUUGGAGAAUUUUUACACAGUUAAAAGGAAACAAAUCCAUGCAUUUGAAAUAAUAAAGUUUUCCUUGUGAUA